RNAcentral lists this transfer-messenger RNA (430 nucleotides) under Parcubacteria group bacterium. It matches the Rfam family "transfer-messenger RNA". From Rfam's summary of the family: Bacterial tmRNA, also known as 10Sa RNA or SsrA, is named for its dual tRNA and mRNA-like properties. Its role is to liberate the mRNA from a stalled ribosome. RNAcentral also lists the same sequence under 1 other name. The record is from RNAcentral.
GGGAGCGUACUGGAUUCGAUUUAGAUCCUUACGCCAGAUUGCAAGCAGAGGAUGAUAGUUGGCCUCUUAAAACAUCUAUCAAAAAAACAUAAAUGCCAACGAUAACGUUGACAUGGAGUUCGCUCCUUCAGUAGCUGAAGCUGACGAGAUUCUCGCCAAGUUCGGUUACGUUGAAGAGGAGUCUCUCCAACUGGCGGCAUAAGUCCCGCCACGUUCUACUCUGGAUGCUCGUUAAAGAGAUAGAGCGACGACAGCGAGCAAAAAACUGGAGCACGUAAGGGAGCCCAGUAUAAAUUUAUUAUAUCCUUUACAACCUUGCGUAGGCCGUUUGUCGGUGACAUGCCAAGCGAGUAUUAACACCGACUAAGCUUGUAGUAUAUUUGAGCCGAUGGCUUUAAAGACGCGGGUUCGACUCCCGCCGCUUCCACCA